CGCAGCCGCGGUAAUUCCAGCUCCAAUAGCGUAUAUUAAAGUUGUUGCAGUUAAAAAGCUCGUAGUUGAAUUUCGGGAUCAAAGGAUCGGUCAUGCCUUGGUAUGUACUGGUUUUAUUGGUUCUCACCUUCUAAAGAACCAUAAUGUCAUUCAUUUGAUGUUAUGGGGAAUUAGGACUGUUACCUUGAAAAAUUAGAGUGUUUAAAGCAGGCUUACGCUUGAAUACAUUAGCAUGGAAUAAUGAAAUAGGACAUCAGAUUCUAUUUUGUUGGUUUCUAGGAUCGAUGUAAUGAUUAAUAGGGGUAGUUGGGGGCAUUAGUAUUCAAUUGUCAGAGGUGAAAUUCUUGGAUUUAUUGAAGACUAACUACUGCGAAAGCAUUUGCCAAGGAUGUUUUCAUUAAUCAAGAACGAAAGUUAGGGGAUCGAAGACGAUCAGAUACCGUCGUAGUCUUAACCAUAAACUAUGCCGACUAGGGAUCGGAUGAUGUUAAUUUUAUAAUGACUCAUUCGGA
RNAcentral lists this unclassified non-coding RNA (512 nucleotides) under uncultured Glomus. Its description in RNAcentral is "SSU rRNA". It matches the Rfam family "Eukaryotic small subunit ribosomal RNA", at positions 569 to 1084 of the family's 1831-position model. Lineage: Eukaryota; Fungi; Glomeromycota; Glomeromycetes; Glomerales; Glomeraceae. The record is from RNAcentral.